AGUGAACGCUGGCGGUAGGCCUAACACAUGCAAGUCGAACGGCAGCACAGUAAGAGCUUGCUCUUACGGGUGGCGAGUGGCGGACGGGUGAGGAAUACAUCGGAAUCUACUUUUUCGUGGGGGAUAACGUAGGGAAACUUACGCUAAUACCGCAUACGACCUACGGGUGAAAGCAGGGGAUCUUCUGACCUUGCGCGAUUGAAUGAGCCGAUGUCGGAGUAGCUAGUUGGCGGGGUAAAGGCCAACCAAGGCGACGAUCCGUAGCUGGUCUGAGAGGAUGGUCAGCCACACUGGAACUGAGACACGGUCCAGACUCCUACGGGAGGCAGCAGUGGGGAAUAUUGGACAAUGGGCGCAAGCCUGAUCCAGCCAUACCGCGUGGGUGAAGAAGGCCUUCGGGUUGUAAAGCCCUUUUGUUGGGAAAGAAAAGCAGCAGGUUAAUACCCCGCUGUUCUGACGGUACCCAAAGAAUAAGCACCGGCUAACUUCGUG
RNAcentral lists this ribosomal RNA (492 nucleotides) under uncultured bacterium. Its description in RNAcentral is "partial 16S ribosomal RNA". It matches the Rfam family "Bacterial small subunit ribosomal RNA", at positions 29 to 507 of the family's 1533-position model. The record is from RNAcentral.